RNAcentral lists this ribosomal RNA (433 nucleotides) under uncultured bacterium. RNAcentral's name for it is "partial 16S ribosomal RNA". It matches the Rfam family "Bacterial small subunit ribosomal RNA", at positions 34 to 507 of the family's 1533-position model. The record is from RNAcentral.
CCCGCCCGCUGGCGGCAUGCCUAACACAUGCAAGUCGAACGAGACCUUCGUGUCUAGUGGCGCACGGGUGCGUAACGCGUGGGAACCUGCCCUUAGGUUCGGAAUAACUCCCCGAAAGGGGUGCUAAUACCGGAUAAUGUCUUCGGACCAAAGAGUUAUCGCCUUUGGAUGGGCCCGCGUUGGAUUAGCUAGUUGGUAGGGUAAAAGCCUACCAAGGCGACGAUCCAUAGCUGGUCUGAGAGGAUGAUCAGCCACACUGGGACUGAGACACGGCCCAGACUCCUACGGGAGGCAGCAGUGGGGAAUAUUGGACAAUGGGCGCAAGCCUGAUACAGCCAUGCCGCGUGAGUGAUGAAGGCCUUAGGGUUGUAAAGCUCUUUUACCCGGGAUGAUAAUGACAGUACCGGGAGAAUAAGCUCCGGCUAACUCCGUG